This 1697-nucleotide long non-coding RNA is filed under the name Homo sapiens (human). RNAcentral describes it as "HSALNT0081836". The record is from RNAcentral. Lineage: Eukaryota; Metazoa; Chordata; Mammalia; Primates; Hominidae.
CAUGUGUUCUCAUUGUUCAACUCCCACUUAUGAGUGAAAACAUGCAGUAUUUGGUUUUCUGUUCCUGUGUUAAUUUUCUGAGAACGAUGGCUUCUAGCUUCAUCCGUGUCCCUGCAAAGGACAUGAUCUCAUUCUUUUUUAUGGCUGCAUAGUAUCACAUGGUAUAUAUGUGCCACAUCUUCUUUAUCCAAUCUGUCAUUGAUGGACAUGUGGGUUGGUUCUAAGUCUUUGACAUUGUAAAUAGUGCUGCAAUAAACCUAUGUGUGUAUGUGUCUUUAUAGUAGAAUGAUUUAUAAUCUUUUGGGUAUAUACCCGGUAAUGGGAUUGCUGGGCCAAAUGGUAUUUCUGGUUCUAGAUCCUUGAGGAAUUGCCACAUUGUCUUCCACAAUGGUUGAACUAAUUUACAGUCCCACCAUCAGUGUAAAAGCAUUUUAUUUCUCCACAGCCUCGCCAGCAUCUAUUGUUUCCUGACUUUUUAAUAAUCGUCCAAAAAGAGCCCGUAUAGCCAAGACAAUUGUAAGCAAAAAGAACAAAGCUGGAGGUAUCAUGCUAUCUGACUUGAAACUAUAUUACAAGGCUACAGUAACCAAAACAGCAUGGUACUGGUACCAAAACAGAUAUAUAGACCAAUGGAACAGAACAGAGACCUCAGAAAUAACACUGCACAUCUACAACCAUCUGAUCUUCAACAGAGCUGACAAAAACAUGCCAUGGGGAAAGAUUCCCUACUUAAUAAAUUAUGCUGAGAAAACUGGCUAGCCAUGUGCAGAAAGCUGAAACUGGAUCCCUUCCUUACACCUUAUGCAAAAAUUAACUCAAGAUAGAUUAAAGACUUAAAGGUAAAACCAAAACCAUAAAAACCCUAGAAGAAAACCCAGGCAAUACCAUUCAGGACAUAGGCAUGGGCAAAAACCUCAUGACUAAAACACCAAAAGCAAUGGCAACAAAACCUAAAAUUGACAAAUGAGAUCUAAUUAAACUAAAGAGCUUCUGCACAGCAAAAGAAAUUAUCAUCAGAGUGAACAGGCAACCUACAGAAUGGAAGAAAAUUUCUACAAUCUACCUAUCUGACAAAGGUCUAAUAUCAGAAUCUACAAGGAACGUAAACAAAUUUACAAGAAAAAACAACACCAUCAAAAACUGGGCAAAGGAUAUGAACAGACACUUCUCAAAAGAAGACACUUAUGAAGCCAAGAAGCAUAUGAAAAAAAGUUCAUUAUCACUGUUCAUUAGAGAACUGCAAAUCAAAACCGCAAUGAGAUACCAUCUCAUGCCAGUCAGAAUGGCGAUUAUUAAAAAGUCAUCUCAUCUUUAAUCUGAGGCUCAUUCCUUUCAUUUGUCCUCGGUAGACCAACCCAAUUAUCUUUGUCCUGGAAUCAGCCGUGAAGUUGAAAAGUAAUCCAGGAGACAAAGUGUCUAUACAUAUUCCUAGCAGAUUUUAGUCCUAUGGAAAAAAAUACAUUUAGAGAAAGUGGAAUUUUCCUAAGGAGAACAAUGUAAUUUUAAAACAAAAAUAAAAGGGAACAAAUUUUCACCAAAUAAUUAAGCCAUAAAAAAUAUAUGCAUUAUUUAAGUAAAAAGCUUUAUUUUUUUCCCUCAGUGUCUGAAUCUUCUUUAUUGUUUACCAGGAUUCAUGAUUCCUUUUGUAACUUGUUCUCAGUCAUUUAUUCAGUUGAGUAAUUACACUUUGUCAGACA